GAUGAACGCUGGCGGCGUGCCUAAUACAUGCAAGUCGAGCGAACAGAUGAGGAGCUUGCUCCUCUGACGUUAGCGGCGGACGGGUGAGUAACACGUGGAUAACCUACCUAUAAGACUGGGAUAACUUCGAGAAACCGGAGCUAAUACCGGAUAAUAUAUUGAACCGCAUGGUUCAAUAGUGAAAGACGGUUUUGCUGUCACUUAUAGAUGGAUCCGCGCCGCAUUAGCUAGUUGGUAAGGUAACGGCUUACCAAGGCAACGAUGCGUAGCCGACCUGAGAGGGUGAUCGGCCACACUGGAACUGAGACACGGUCCAGACUCCUACGGGAGGCAGCAGUAGGGAAUCUUCCGCAAUGGGCGAAAGCCUGACGGAGCAACGCCGCGUGAGUGAUGAAGGUCUCCGGAUCGUAAAACUCUGUUAUUAGGGAAGAACAAAUGUGUAAGUAACUAUGCACGUCUUGACGGUACCUAAUCAGAAAGCCACGGCUAACUACGUG
RNAcentral lists this ribosomal RNA (497 nucleotides) under uncultured bacterium. RNAcentral describes it as "partial 16S ribosomal RNA". It matches the Rfam family "Bacterial small subunit ribosomal RNA", at positions 28 to 507 of the family's 1533-position model. The record is from RNAcentral.